RNAcentral lists this small nucleolar RNA (146 nucleotides) under Drosophila sechellia. RNAcentral's name for it is "snoRNA:GM27487". The record is from RNAcentral. Lineage: Eukaryota; Metazoa; Arthropoda; Insecta; Diptera; Drosophilidae.
CGGAGUAUAACAGAAAAUGUCUUGUCUAUCGCGCAGAACGUUUGAAGAAAAUACUCCUAGAGCAUAUUUAGUAACUUGCUAUUCGCUUUACACUGGCCACUACGCUUUACCCACAGCAGGGCAGUGAAAAAUGGUCAAGCACAAAU